AUAAGGAGCAAGCGUUGUCCGGAUUUAUUGGGCGUAAAGAGCACGUAGGCGGUAAUUUAAGUCAGAUGUUAAAAGCUUCGACUCAAUCGAAGUCCGCAUUUGAAACUGAAUUGCUAGAGAAUAAGAAAGGGAAGCGGAACUCACAGUGUAGCGGUGAAAUGCGUAGAUAUUGUGAGGAACACCAGUUGCGAAGGCGACUUCCUAGCUUAUUUCUGACGCUGAGGUGCGAAAGCGUAGGGAGCGAACAGGGAUUAGAUACCCUGGUAGUCUACGCUGUAAACGUUGUUCACUAGGUGUAGGAGGUAUCGACCCCCCUUCUGUGCCACAGCUAACGCGUUAAGUGAACCGCCUGGGAAGUACGAUCGCAAGAUUA
RNAcentral lists this ribosomal RNA (373 nucleotides) under uncultured organism. Its description in RNAcentral is "partial 16S ribosomal RNA". It matches the Rfam family "Bacterial small subunit ribosomal RNA", at positions 527 to 896 of the family's 1533-position model. The record is from RNAcentral.